Molecule: long non-coding RNA, 763 nt
Filed under: Triticum aestivum (bread wheat)
Lineage: Eukaryota; Viridiplantae; Streptophyta; Magnoliopsida; Poales; Poaceae
Description: long non-coding RNA (TAES_LNC014467)
Source: RNAcentral
GAACGAUUGUGUCAUGUGCAGAUGUUUCCUCCCAAUGGUCUUUCCAGCAAAUGCGCUGAGAUUCCUAUCGAAUGCGCCACAAGGCGUUCACGCAAAAACGGCUUAGAACUAACGUAAGUUCUAUAGCAUUUGGAAGAAAGAAAAGUGCAUUCAUUCACCCGCUAAAACAACAACCGCACGGAAUUAAUUAAGCUACUACCAUUAAUCCCAUGCACGGAUGUCUCCAUCGCCACCCACCCCCUUGACAAACACUCGCGCCACAGGCGAAUUCCACCACAUCACAUGGUUCCAAAACACAACUUUUUCCACAUAUACAUACUCUCGCAGGUUCAGUUAGGCCAAGACCACUAGAGGAGUAGAGUAGCCCACUCGAUACGCCACGGAUACAUGGCCACGAUGACGACGAUUACAUAGCCUUGUACUCCCUCCGUUCCAAAAUGGAUGACCCAAGUUUGUACUAAAGUUAGUACAAAGUUGAGUCAUCUAUUCUGGAACGGAGGGAGUAGUAGUAAUACAACGUUGCUAGUGAUAAGGAAAAUCAGACGGAGACGGAGUUCAUCCUACUCAUGCUCCUGAGGAAGGAGGUGCUCUUGGUGAGCUCGCGCAGGGGCUUGUUGGUGAAGCGGAUGAGGUUGUACGCCCACGCCCCGGCCACGGCUCCGGCCACCGGCCCCACCACGUACACCCAGAUCGACCUGUACUCACUCCCGAUCAGCGCCGGCCCCACCGUCCUCGCCGGGUUCAUCGACGCCCCCGACACCGG